CCGUAGGUGAACCUGCGGUAGGAUCAUUG
This 29-nucleotide ribosomal RNA is filed under the name Thuja plicata (western redcedar). RNAcentral describes it as "partial 18S ribosomal RNA". RNAcentral also lists the same sequence under 1 other name. The record is from RNAcentral. Lineage: Eukaryota; Viridiplantae; Streptophyta; Pinopsida; Cupressales; Cupressaceae.